UUGUCGCGUCCGCCGUGCAUACGGUGCACAC
This 31-nucleotide small RNA is filed under the name Bombyx mori (domestic silkworm). Its description in RNAcentral is "ovarian small RNA-1649". Lineage: Eukaryota; Metazoa; Arthropoda; Insecta; Lepidoptera; Bombycidae. The record is from RNAcentral.